GGGCCGGUAGCUCAGCCUGGCAGAGCGGCGGGCUUUUAACCCGUAGGUCCCGGGUUCAAAUCCCGGCCGGCCCGCCA
RNAcentral lists this transfer RNA (77 nucleotides) under Hyperthermus butylicus DSM 5456. Its description in RNAcentral is "tRNA-Lys (TTT) (tRNA-Lys-TTT-1-1)". It matches the Rfam family "tRNA". From Rfam's summary of the family: Transfer RNA (tRNA) molecules are approximately 80 nucleotides in length. Their secondary structure includes four short double-helical elements and three loops (D, anti-codon, and T loops). Further hydrogen bonds mediate the characteristic L-shaped molecular structure. tRNAs have two regions of fundamental functional importance: the anti-codon, which is responsible for specific mRNA codon recognition, and the 3' end, to which the tRNAs corresponding amino acid is attached (by aminoacyl-tRNA synthetases). tRNAs cope with the degeneracy of the genetic code in two manners: having more than one tRNA (with a specific anti-codon) for a particular amino acid; and 'wobble' base-pairing, i.e. permitting non-standard base-pairing at the 3rd anti-codon position. The record is from RNAcentral. Lineage: Archaea; Thermoproteati; Thermoproteota; Thermoprotei; Desulfurococcales; Pyrodictiaceae.